This 460-nucleotide ribosomal RNA is filed under the name uncultured bacterium. RNAcentral's name for it is "partial 16S ribosomal RNA". It matches the Rfam family "Bacterial small subunit ribosomal RNA", at positions 338 to 795 of the family's 1533-position model. The record is from RNAcentral.
CCUACGGGGGGCAGCAGUGAGGAAUAUUGGUCAAUGGACGAGAGUCUGAACCAGCCAAGUAGCGUGAAGGAUGACUGCCCUACGGGUUGUAAACUUCUUUUAUAUGGGAAUAAAAUGUUCCACGUGUGGGAUUUUGUAUGUACCAUAUGAAUAAGGAUCGGCUAACUCCGUGCCAGCAGCCGCGGUAAUACGGAGGAUCCGAGCGUUAUCCGGAUUUAUUGGGUUUAAAGGGAGCGUAGGUGGAUUGUCAAGUCAGUUGUGAAAGUUUGCGGCUCAACCGUAGAAUUGCAGUUGAAACUGGCAGUCUUGAGUGCAGUAGAGGUGGGCGGAAUUCGUGGUGUAGCGGUGAAAUGCUUAGAUAUCACGAAGAACUCCGAUUGCGAAGGCAGUUCACUGGACUGCAACUGACACUGAGGCUCGAAAGUGUGGGUAUCAAACAGGACUAGAUACCCGUGUAGUC